Molecule: ribosomal RNA, 429 nt
Filed under: Chloroflexota bacterium
Lineage: Bacteria; Bacillati; Chloroflexota
Description: Chloroflexi bacterium partial 16S ribosomal RNA
Rfam family: Bacterial small subunit ribosomal RNA
Source: RNAcentral
UGGGGAAUAUUGCACAAUGGGCGCAAGCCUGAUGCAGCCAUGCCGCGUGUAUGAAGAAGGCCUUCGGGUUGUAAAGUACUUUCAGUCGGGAGGAAGGUGGUAAGGUUAAUAACCUUAUCAAUUGACGUUACCGACAGAAGAAGCACCGGCUAACUCCGUGCCAGCAGCCGCGGUAAUACGGAGGGUGCAAGCGUUAAUCGGAAUUACUAGGCGUAAAGCGCACGCAGGCGGUUGAUUGAGUCAGAUGUGAAAUCCCCGGGCUUAACCCGGGAAUUGCAUCUGAUACUGGUCAGCUAGAGUCUUGUAGAGGGGGGUAGAAUUACAUGUGUAGCGGUGAAAUGCGUAGAGAUGUGGAGGAAUACCGGUGGCGAAGGCGGCCCCCUGGACAAAGACUGACGCUCAGGUGCGAAAGCGUGGGGAGCAAACAGG